UUCGAUUCCGGAGAGGGCGCCCGAGAAACGGCGACCNCAUCUAAGGAAGGCAGCAGGCGCGCAAAUUACCCAACCCUGACACAGGGAGGUAGUGACAAGAAAUAACAAAGCAGGCGCUUUUGCGUUCUGCUAUUGGAAUGAGUAGAAUUUAAAUCCCUUUUCGACUAUCCAUUGGAGGGCAAGUCUGGUGCCAGCAGCCGCGGUAAUUCCAGCUCCAAUAGCGUAUGUUAAAGUUGUUGCGGUAAAAAAGCUCGUAGUUGGAUUUCUAUCGAGGACGACCGGUCCAUACAAUGUAUGUGCAUCUGGCUCGGCUUCGGCAUCCUCUCGAUACACGUUUCUGUGCUUGAUUGCAUGGAGCGGGGCUCGGGACUUUUACUUUGAGGAAAUUAGAGUGUUCACGGCAGGCUAUCGCCAGAAUACAUUAGCAUGGAAUAAUACUAUAGGAUCUCGGUUCUAUUUUGUUGGUUUCUAGAAUUGGGAUAAUGAUUAAUAGGGACAAUUGGGGGCAUUCGUAUCAAGGCGCCAGAGGUGGAAUUCUUGGAUUGCCUUGCGACGAACUACUGCGAAAGCAUUUGCCAAGGAUGUUUUCAUUGAUCAAGAACGAAAGUAAGGGGAUCGAAGACGAUUAGAUACCGUCGUAGUCUUUACCAUAAACUAUGCCAACUAGAGAUGGGGCGUCGUUCUUACAUGACUCGCUCCGCACCUUAUGAGAAAUCAAAGUCUUUGGGUUCCGGGGGGAGUAUGGUCGCAAGGCUGAAACUUAAAGGAAUUGACGGAAGGGCACCACCAGGAGUGGAGCCUGUGGCUUAAUUUGACUCAACACGG
RNAcentral lists this ribosomal RNA (825 nucleotides) under uncultured eukaryote. RNAcentral describes it as "SSU rRNA". It matches the Rfam family "Eukaryotic small subunit ribosomal RNA", at positions 376 to 1208 of the family's 1831-position model. The record is from RNAcentral.